ACAUCCUUGAUUCUGUUCUGUACGUCCUCCUCCAACAGCGCAUCACUGCACAAUGUCAUGCUUCAAUUUAAGGACUCUGAGUUUCCAGACUAUGUAAAAAUAAGUCUCCAGGCUUCUUUCCCUGAUCUCUUUCUACAAAGAGACCACAGUAGGGCAGCACAGCACCACCAGCCCCCGCCCUAAUCAACAGAGGCUGCCCCCUACCAGCUUACAGCUUUUCAAGUACAGACAACUGGUGAUCUGCGGUAUUCCCUGUGAAAUUCAUCCAUGUUCCUACAAAUGGGAGUUUAUCUUUAUCCACAGGUCAUGAUAUAUUUCAAAUUAACUUGUCUAUAUGGUGUGAGGUGAAGGGCCAAGAUUUUCCUCCCCACAUGGAUAUUCAAUUAAGACAGAAGCAUUUACUGGUAAGACCCACUUUUCCCCACUGAAUUGCUUGGUGCCUCUUCAUAAAUCAAGUGACUCCACAGAAUUCAAUCUUUAAUAAUAAGUUCCAGUUCUAAAAAGAACUUUAGAAAUUUUAGUUAUUUGCUAUCAGAAAAUUAUAAACAAGUAUUUUAGUAUGAUAUAUUCCAGAAUCUGUUAAAAAUAUUUUUUUAACAAAUACCGAACUCUAAAUGAAUGCAAGACACUGUGCUACAUAAUAUAAAAGGCCUUUUGUAUAUUAUGUUAAGUCUUUCCUCAUUAUCUAACAAGAAAAUCAAUCACAUUCAAAAAUACAUCGAGUACUAGAAGCCAUGGUGGUACGAGUUGUUUUGUAUCCUCAAGGGUGCUUUUUGUGCAGAAAAUACUUCUUC
Molecule: long non-coding RNA, 794 nt
Organism: Camelus dromedarius (Arabian camel)
Lineage: Eukaryota; Metazoa; Chordata; Mammalia; Artiodactyla; Camelidae
Exons: 3
Source: RefSeq, a predicted model, not a curated record